CUCACUUUAAAGGUACUCACCUCUUUCUUUUGUCUUUGGAAGGAGUUGAAGUGUUUACUUUGCUAAAGAUAUUUUCAUCUCCCACAAGAACAGAAUACAAAAGGUUUUUGGCACAGUGUCAAUGGGAUCAGAGGGAGACUGAACUGGAAAAUAACAGAAAGCAGGGACUAUGGAGAGGAGUGGAGUCCAUUGUUUUUCUGCUUGCUGGAGAGGUUAAGGACAGGUUGCAGCUUAGAUUUUCCCUCAUGGAUUUGUAUGUGCAAUGUAAUACCAGCUUUUCAAAUUGACAAAUGGGUUUUCUACACACUUGCAUUCAAUCUCAACAAAGUACUGGGAAAGGAUUUGAUAAGAAGUAAGAACAGACUUUUCUCAAGACAAUGCAGCUAUAAACAAGAGUCAGGAAAACAGAUUAAUUUAGUGGUCAGAUAAUCUUUGAAAAUCCUUGGAUUGACUAUGGUAUAUAUCUGACUAUGUACUGGCAUUUGAAAAAGAAAAUGGAAAAUUAGAUUUUGGCUACAGUACUUGUUUCCUUCUGUUUUUCUUGUAGUCUAAACACGCAAAUCCAUACAGUGUAGUGGAAAUUUAGCAGUCAUAUUAUGUAGCUAUUAACACCAGAAAACUUUCUAUGACCAUGGUACAGCAUAAAAAAAUAAUCAAAAUCUACCAACACUUCCUCACGGUGGAUCAUAUAUUCUAAAUGUAGCUGGUUCUCUGAUGCCGUGCCUUGAAGCUGUGAAUAAACCCUGAUACUUAAAGACA
RNAcentral lists this long non-coding RNA (759 nucleotides) under Anser brachyrhynchus (Pink-footed goose). RNAcentral's name for it is "lncRNA (ENSABRG00000003097.1)". Lineage: Eukaryota; Metazoa; Chordata; Aves; Anseriformes; Anatidae. The record is from RNAcentral.